UACGGGGGGGAGCAAGCGUUGUUCGGAUUUACUGGGCGUAAAGGGCGCGUAGGCGGCCACCGCAAGUCGACUGUGAAAUCUCCGGGCUUAACCCGGAAAGGUCAGCCGAUACUGCGGGGCUAGAGUGCAGAAGGGGCAACUGGAAUUCUCGGUGUAGCGGUGAAAUGCGUAGAUAUCGAGAGGAACACCUGCGGCGAAGGCGGGUUGCUUGGCUGACACUGACGCUGAUGCGCGAAAGCUAGGGGAGCGAACGGG
RNAcentral lists this ribosomal RNA (255 nucleotides) under uncultured bacterium. RNAcentral's name for it is "partial 16S ribosomal RNA". It matches the Rfam family "Bacterial small subunit ribosomal RNA", at positions 524 to 776 of the family's 1533-position model. The record is from RNAcentral.